AGUGAACGCUGGCGGUAGGCCUAACACAUGCAAGUCGAACGGCAGCACAGUAAGAGCUUGCUCUUACGGGUGGCGAGUGGCGGACGGGUGAGGAAUACAUCGGAAUCUACUUUUUCGUGGGGGAUAACGUAGGGAAACUUACGCCAAUACCGCAUACGACGUACGGGUGAAAGCAGGGGAUCUUCGGACCUUGCGCGAUUGAAUGAGCCGAUGUCGGAUUAGCUAGUUGGCGGGGUAAAGGCCCACCAAGGCGACGAUCCGUAGCUGGUCUGAGAGGAUGAUCAGCCACACUGGAACUGAGACACGGUCCAGACUCCUACGGGAGGCAGCAGUGGGGAAUAUUGGACAAUGGGCGCAAGCCUGAUCCAGCCAUACCGCGUGGGUGAAGAAGGCCUUCGGGUUGUAAAGCCCUUUUGUUGGGAAAGAAAAGCAGCAGGUUAAUACCCCGCUGUUCUGACGUUACCCAAAGAAUAAGCACCGGCUAACUUCGUG
RNAcentral lists this ribosomal RNA (492 nucleotides) under uncultured bacterium. RNAcentral describes it as "partial 16S ribosomal RNA". It matches the Rfam family "Bacterial small subunit ribosomal RNA", at positions 29 to 507 of the family's 1533-position model. The record is from RNAcentral.